AGAGUUUGAUCCUGGCUCAUGAUGAACGCUAGCGGCAGGCUUAAUACAUGCAAGUCGAGGGGCAACACGGGUAGCAAUACCUGCUGGCGACCGGCAAACGGGUGCGGAACACGUACAGAACCUUCCUAUAAGCGGGGGAUAGCCCAGAGAAAUUUGGAUUAAUACCCCAUAGUAUGAUGGUCUGGCAUCAGACAAUAAUUAAAGAUUUAUCACUCAGAGAUGGCUGUGCGGCUGAUUAGGUAGUUGGUGCGGGUAAAGGCUCACCAAGCCUUCGAUCAGUAACUGGUGUGAGAGCACGACCAGUCACACGGGCACUGAGACACGGGCCCGACUCCUACGGGAGGCAGCAGUAACGAAUAUUAGGUCAAUGGACGCAAGUCUGAACCAGCCAUGCCGCGUGAAGGAUGAAGGGUCCUCUGGAUAGUAAACUUCUUUUAUGUGAGGAAGAAAUGCACUUUUUACUACAGUGUUUUGACGGUACCCAUAAAGAAUAACGCACCCGGGCUAACCUCACGGUGCCCAAGCCAAGCCCGCCCGGGUAAAUAACUNGAAAGGGGGUUGCCAAAAGCCGUUUAAUUUCCCGGGAAUUCCACCCUGGGGGUUUUUAAUAAGGGGGUUGCCGUUAAGGGUGGGGAAAUUUGUAAAGAUNCAGUUGGGGUGAAUAAUUAUCCCGGGUGCCUUGUAAUCCAAUUGGAAAACUUGCCC
This 705-nucleotide ribosomal RNA is filed under the name uncultured bacterium. Its description in RNAcentral is "bacterial SSU rRNA". The stretch from base 2 to 564 matches the Rfam family "Bacterial small subunit ribosomal RNA", at positions 9 to 546 of the family's 1533-position model. The record is from RNAcentral.